Molecule: non-coding RNA, 104 nt
Organism: Chelonoidis abingdonii (Abingdon island giant tortoise)
Lineage: Eukaryota; Metazoa; Chordata; Testudines; Testudinidae
Source: RefSeq, a predicted model, not a curated record
CUUGUUGAAGAGAUUUUACACAGGAGAACAGAGGAGUUUCUACCUACAAGAGAAAGACUAUAUGAGCCUCUGGAAACCUCUCCAUUUUUAAUGAAUCCUGCUUC